RNAcentral lists this ribosomal RNA (783 nucleotides) under uncultured bacterium. RNAcentral describes it as "bacterial SSU rRNA". It matches the Rfam family "Bacterial small subunit ribosomal RNA", at positions 614 to 1397 of the family's 1533-position model. The record is from RNAcentral.
CUGGGAACUGCAUUUGAUACUGGCAAGCUAGAGUAUNGUAGAGGGGGGUAGAAUUCCAGGUGUAGCGGUGAAAUGCGUAGAGAUCUGGAGGAAUACCGGUGGCGAAGGCGGCCCCCUGGACGAAGACUGACGCUCAGGUGCGAAAGCGUGGGGAGCAAACAGGAUUAGGUACCCUGGUAGUCCACGCCGUAAACGAUGUCGACUUGGAGGUUGUGCCCUUGAGGCGUGGCUUCCGGAGCUAACGCGUUAAGUCGACCGCCUGGGGAGUACGGCCGCAAGGUUAAAACUCAAAUGAAUUGACGGGGGCCCGCACAAGCGGUGGAGCAUGUGGUUUAAUUCGAUGCAACGCGAAGAACCUUACCUGGUCUUGACAUCCACGGAAGUUUUCAGAGAUGAGAAUGUGCCUUCGGGAACCGUGAGACAGGUACUGCAUGGCUGUCGUCAGCUCGUGUUGUGAAAUGUUGGGUUAAGUCCCGCAACGAGCGCAACCCUUAUCCUUUGUUGCCAGCGGUCCGGCCGGGAACUCAAAGGAGACUGCCAGUGAUAAACUGGAGGAAGGUGGAGAUGACGUCAAGUCAUCAUGGCCCUUACGACCAGGGCUACACACGUGCUACAAUGGCGCAUACAAAGAGAAGCGACCUCGCGAGAGCAAGCGGACCUCAUAAAGUGCGUCGUAGUCCGGAUUGGAGUCUGCAACUCGACUCCAUGAAGUCGGAAUCGCUAGUAAUCGUGGAUCAGAAUGCCACGGUGAAUACGUUCCCGGGCCUUGUACACACCGCCCGU